AUGCAAGUCGAGCGAAUGAUGAAGAAGCUUGCUUCUUCUGAUUUAGCGGCGGACGGGUGAGUAACACGUGGGCAACCUACCUAGUAGAUUGGGAUAACUCCGGGAAACCGGGGCUAAUACCGAAUAAUUCAUUUCACCUCAUGGUGAGAUGCUGAAAGGCGGUUUCGGCUGUCACUACUAGAUGGGCCCGCGGUGCAUUAGCUAGUUGGUGGGGUAAUGGCCUACCAAGGCAACGAUGCAUAGCCGACCUGAGAGGGUGAUCGGCCACAUUGGGACUGAGACACGGCCCAAACUCCUACGGGAGGCAGCAGUAGGGAAUCUUCCACAAUGGACNAAAGUCUGAUGGAGCAACGCCGCGUGAGUGAUGAAGGUUUUCGGAUCGUAAAACUCUGUUGUAAGGGAAGAACAAGUAC
Molecule: ribosomal RNA, 413 nt
Filed under: forest soil bacterium 3S2.A7
Lineage: Bacteria
Description: bacterial SSU rRNA
Rfam family: Bacterial small subunit ribosomal RNA
Source: RNAcentral